AUGCUCGAAAAAUAAGAAGAUUGCUAUUUCUGCCAUGCAACCAAACUCAAGUAUGAAAGUUCGGGAUUAUGCUGCAAAGGACAGAUAAGACUAGCCAAUCCAAAUACACCACCGGAACUCAUGAGACUUUGGAAAAGCAACGACUCUGAUGCAAGACAUUUUCGUCAAAAUAUAAGAUUCUUCAAUGGGCACUUCUCGUUUACUACACUAUACUGCGAGCUCGAUAGAGAUAUAACAGACAUGCAAACGGUCGGUAUUAACACCUUUCGAGCACAUGGUCAAAUAUAUCACAACAUACACUCAUUUGGUAAUAGUCACUCAAUUCCAAAGUAUCUGGAACUAUACUUCUACGACGAUGAUCCAAGUUUAGAGCAUCGAUACCGCCGCCGUGAGGAAAUGUUCGAGCAAGACAAGCAUGUGAUUGCAAUAAUAACAGACAUCCUACACGGUAACCCGUACUCUCGAGAGUUUAGGAGUUUGGGACAAGCCCAGAACCUUGAGGACUACAGACUGAUCUUGAACCUUGACCAGAGAUUGGACCAAAGAACAUAA
Molecule: ribosomal RNA, 552 nt
Filed under: Triticum aestivum (bread wheat)
Lineage: Eukaryota; Viridiplantae; Streptophyta; Magnoliopsida; Poales; Poaceae
Description: partial small subunit ribosomal RNA
Source: RNAcentral